This 253-nucleotide ribosomal RNA is filed under the name uncultured bacterium. RNAcentral's name for it is "partial 16S ribosomal RNA". It matches the Rfam family "Bacterial small subunit ribosomal RNA", at positions 524 to 776 of the family's 1533-position model. The record is from RNAcentral.
GACGGAGGGUGCAAGCGUUGUUCGGAAUUACUGGGCGUAAAGCGCACGUAGGCGGACUGUUAAGUCGGGGGUGAAAUCCUGGGGCUCAACCUCAGAAUUGCAUCCGAUACUGGCAGUCUCGAGUGCGGGAGAGGUGAGUGGAAUUCCCAGUGUAGAGGUGAAAUUCGUAGAUAUUGGGAAGAACACCAAUGGCGAAGGCGGCUCACUGGCCCGUAACUGACGCUGAGGUGCGAAAGCGUGGGGAGCAAACAGG